GUUUAUAUAGUUUAUUUAAAACUUUACAUUUUCAUUGUAAAAAUAAAAUUUUAUAUUUUUAUAAAUA
This 67-nucleotide transfer RNA is filed under the name Cnaphalocrocis medinalis (rice leaffolder). Its description in RNAcentral is "tRNA-Glu". Lineage: Eukaryota; Metazoa; Arthropoda; Insecta; Lepidoptera; Crambidae. The record is from RNAcentral.